Molecule: long non-coding RNA, 4070 nt
Organism: Acanthochromis polyacanthus (spiny chromis)
Lineage: Eukaryota; Metazoa; Chordata; Actinopteri; Pomacentridae
Exons: 4
Source: RefSeq, a predicted model, not a curated record
UGUAUAUAUCUAUGGUUGCGACACUCCCAUAGGGUGCCGUUGUACGCUUUCUUUCGGUCUACUUCCGGGUUGUGGAGGCUUGUUUAGUUCCAAGCACGGCUUCGACAGUGAUAGCCAGCGUUCAUUUGCACUGCAGGUCGUUCAGUAUAUGUGGAGUAUCCCGAGAGCCCUCACUGAAGACACGAAGACCCUCAUUGUUUCUCCCAUUGUCAAUAAAACAUACUAUUUCAUUCAUCAAAACAUAAUGAGUUGUUAUUCUUGAAUAUAUAUUUUGUGUAUGUCUUAAAAUGGUUAUAGUGAGUCAACUCCUGCCUCAUCAGAAGUGGUUGGACACUAUCUGCUGAAUGGACUGUUGUUACUCUGCUUUUCAAUAAUUGCCAGACUACGGGUAAGUGAAUCAGAGAAAGAUAGACAUUGCCUGGAAAUACAAUAAUCCAGCUGGGCAAAAAUUAACAUUUUCAAUCAUCUUACAUUUCUGUGUAAAAGUCGAUUUUCCAUGCUAACACGAAUGUGAAACAUUCCCUCCAAAACCCCAAAAGUGUCUUUAAUAUGUCACCUUACGGCUCAAAAUGUAAAACUGACAUUUACAUACAUACUCCAAUGAAUUAAUAAUCAAACAAGUAUUUGGAGGUGUGAUUUUAUUCCUUUUUUACCGUGAAAUCGCCGCUCUCAGUCCCAUAGAAGGAAAUGACAGCGCUGCCUGUUUGGAACUAUUCAGGCUUACAUGAACCACGUGACCGCCCCGCUGCGAGAGCAUGAGUGUCGCAACUCUUACUAUCUCUAGCAGCGAGUUGACACACCGGUGCUGCCAUUUGUGACAGAGUUAGGAAGGAGGGAGACAAAGUUAAGCUAUGACGGCCGUUAGCAUGAACGAGGUGAAUUAUUUGCUUUCUUGUCCAUUUUCCUCAAUGUCUUUGGAGGAAAAGCUGGAAGUUAAGAGACUGGGAUCACAUCGGCCAAACGAUGUUCAAAUAACUCAAUGGGACAAACGGCAAAAUCAUAAGUUUUGCAUUUCUUGGUUUGACAGAAAGGACUGGCUAACGGCAAGUAUAGCUAUGAAUUCACUUUUCUGUUUCUCAUGCUUACUUUUUGGAGGAGAUACCGCAUGGACUCAACAAGGAAUUGUGGAUUUGUGGCUGUGCAAGCUGAUGAGACAACCUGUGUGUGUGUAUAUGUGAGAGAGAGAGAGUGAGAGUGAGAGAUGUAGAGCACUAAAAAAGUAUAGUGUACCUGUAAUAGAUGUAACUGUAUCAUAGGUGGUGUGUCAACCAUUUAAUCUGUAUUAUGCAUUUGUUAGCCCACCCAACAAAUUUCACCACCAGCCGCCACUGUCUAUAUUAAUGGCACUGAGGCUGAACUGUGGUGGAUAAAGUCUCACUGCUGAUCAACACCUGAGUUUAUCACCUGUACAGAGAAGUCAGCAGUGAGACAGCGCCCCCUACAGACAGAUCAUGUAUUUACCUUUGACCUGUGUAAAAGUAACCUGGCAAUAGCCAGAUUAAUAAUUGUGUAGUACUUGAUAGUACUCCACAAUAUCAAUCUGGGACCGCUCCAUGUAAAUCCGUUCGGAGGAAAGAGGCACGGAUUGGACAAUGCAACGGUAUGUCCCUCCUCUGACAGGUUUGUUUUUAGCCAAUCGCGGGAUCUUCACAACGAGCGGAGCCAAUUGGUAGAUUAAACUCUUACCAAAACCCGUAGGUAAAAAAGCACAAACAUGUUUACCAUCCAGAAAUGCGCAAAGCGCCUCUCGCUGUUCUUCCUUCAAAGAAACGACAGGAGAUUCAGCUAAAACUGACUUAAUAGCAGCAUCUACACGAUCGUUGUCCUCCGUUGCCAUGUUUGUUUUGAUCUACUGGCGCUUGGUGUCGUCUUCACACCCGGAUAUCCUGCCCCACACACGAAUACUGCUGCGUGAUUGGCCCGUGCCAACUUGGCUCUGUACGAACCAAUGACGUAUAUAUAGAGCUAGACCGCUCACUGGCCGCUGAGAGGCGGUAAAUAGGAGCUGACUUCCGGUAGUGGCAAGACGGGGAUUUCACAUUGGAACGCCAGCGCGGUAUGUGACUUUGUGUUUCGUGAUUUACCAAGGUACAGUAAACUUCUGUGUUGGAAUCAAGUCACAAUGCUUGAAAUACGUUGAGAACACCAGACCAGGAGGCCCUAGACCAGCACUGGCUGGGUUUUUCACUGACUGCAGCUGAGCAGACUCUCCUCAGGAGAGUUCCCAGUUCGCUGUCAUGCUCAUGGCUCGCCAUUCCCCCUGUGCCUGUGGUCUCACUCUGACCUGUGACGGGUGACAAGGCUAUUUUUGUCAUCAGAAAAUAUGUGUUAAUGAACUAGAAAUCUGUUUGAGAAGGUGAGCAGCACGGCAUGAUCAUAUCUGACACUGACAGUGCAUACGUCGCUGCAUAGCACUUAGCAGUUAACACUUCUGCUAGCUCCUUCAAUGCCACCAGUUUUGUGAUUCCUUCUCUGGAAUGUAAGUGAAAGGAAACAUGCUGACACUCACCUUGCAAUCAUCACAUCAUGAACCUGUUAAUUUAAGUGUCUCUGUUGUUAUGGUUUCAGAUGGACGUGGCUAAUAUCUGACCAUGGUGAAGUCGUGUGCUGCCAUCUCCUGCACCAGUCGAUUUGUAAUAUUUCCUUUCAUAAGUUUCCCAAGCAGUCCAAGGACAGCACACUGAGAGAGCAAUGGAUACAGGCCAUCAGUAGAGAAGCGGUGGGGACCAAGAGGAGAUGAUCAUAAUUAUGUCUGCAGCAACCAUUUCAGGGAGGAGGACUUCAUCCUCUCAAAACAUGCUCAACACAAGCUUCUCAGGCCAGGGGCUGUACCAUCCCUCAAUCUGGGGAAACCAGAGAAAAAGAUGGCAGUGAGGACAACCCAAAGCAGCCCGGCAGCAGUGGCAUUAUACCAGCACAUGGACAUGGAGCCUGAACAAGAGCCUGAAGAGGGCAGUGCUGCUGUUAGUGAACACCAUGCAUACCGUACAGACAUUGACACCCUGAAGAGGAAAUAUGACGAUCUAAGUGUACAGCAUGAAAAGCUGAGGCAGGACUUCAACAAUGCCAAACGUAGAGAGAAGCGCUGCAGAGUGACGUUGGAGGCCAUGUUAGCUAAAACCAAGGAAAUACAAGCCCUGUCUGAUGAUGCUCAUUCCAUGCUUGAUGCAUAUAAAGGUAUUCCUUGUUUAGAAGUACAUAUGAGUGACAUCCAGCAUAUGUAAAUAUAAUUAUGUAACUGCACAUUGCUCACCCACACAGUGCACUAGAACUGAGAUCAAUGUUUGUUAAUGCUUCAUGAGAUGAUGACUGGUUCACAGAUAACUGUACUUUUGCCUUCCACAACAUUAUCUAAACAGUUUUGCGGCUGUGAUACCCAACAUUCAUAUGGAAACUAUCUAAGCUAUUAACUAUGUUUGAUCACACUUAAUUUUCAAUUACAGGUAAAUUGAUGUUGAUAGACCCUGUUUCUUUACCAGAAUAAUGUAAUUUGUUUGUAACUCCACAACACCUGAAAUUGGGACAUAUAUACAACACGCAUUUAGGUUGAAUAUUUAUGAAAAUUGCAAAUUAAACUCAAAGGGUUGACUGAACUUUGAUGGUUCAUCAUGAAGCAUGAUGUGCUGUAUAAAUGCCGUCUACAUACUGCAAUCUGCCUGAAAGUUUGUGAUUGAUCACAGUCCUGCAGUGAUGACAUCCAUAUGCCAAUGUGCACUCAGUCAUAGCAUCACCUGCUGUAGAGGAAAUUACAAGUUUUACACUUUAAUGUUGUACGAUACUUUUAAUAAAUUUAUCUGCACUUUUUUUCAUUUACUUUAAAUUAACUUCUUUUCUGUUGGUUGUUGCAAUUAGUGUCUGACAUGCUUUUAUUUUUUUCUAUUUCUUGUCUUCUUUUGGCUGUUUUACUCAAUCAGUUUUAAUUAUUCUAGAAAUGAGUGUCCAUUGUAUUCAAUGAACCUUUUCUGAUUAAAGUGACUUCAUUUUUUAUUACACUACUUACUUUAUUUUUUACAUUUUACUCUGAAAAACCUCUGUGUAUGUUAAGGUACUACAUAAAUAAUGUUGCUUGA